GUCUAAGUAUAAGUGUUAUACAGCGAAACUGCGAAUGGCUCAUUAAAACAGUUAUAGUUUAUUUGAUAAUCGAAUUUACAUGGAUAACCGUGGUAAUUCUAGAGCUAAUACAUGCUGGUAUGCCCGACUUUUGCGGAAGGGCGGUAUUUAUUAGAUAACAAGCCAAUAUUCCUCUGGUCUAUUGUGGUGACUCAUAAUAACUGAUCGAAUCGCAAGGCCUUUGGCCGCGAUAAAUCAUUCAAGUUUCUGCCCCAUCAGCUUUCGAUGGUAGUGUAUUGGACUACCAUGGCGUUUACGGGUAACGGAGGAUUAGGGUUCGAUUCCGGAGAGGGAGCCUGAGAAACGGCUACCACAUCUAAGGAAGGCAGCAGGCGCGUAAAUUACCCAAUCCUGACUCAGGGAGGUAGUGACAAGAAAUAACGGACCGGUUCCUUCGGAUUCGGGAUUGCAAUGAGCCGAAUUUACACCCCUUAGCGAGGAUCGAUUGGAGGGCAAGUCUGG
Molecule: ribosomal RNA, 501 nt
Filed under: uncultured marine eukaryote
Lineage: Eukaryota
Description: SSU rRNA
Rfam family: Eukaryotic small subunit ribosomal RNA
Source: RNAcentral